Long non-coding RNA from Triticum aestivum (bread wheat), 2747 nucleotides. RefSeq lists it as uncharacterized. The record is from RefSeq and is a predicted model, not a curated record. The transcript has 3 exons. NCBI's taxonomy places the organism in Eukaryota, Viridiplantae, Streptophyta, Magnoliopsida, Poales, Poaceae.
GAUGCUUCAGAUUUAGUUUUCAGUUUUGUCAUCCAUCUAAUUGUGUAUAUAUGUGGCAGAGAAAUAUGAAAUUUUGAUGUAAAUGUUCAUUAAUCAUAACUGACAAUGCUCGAUGCAUGGGUGAGAGUGGAGGCCGGCUGAGGAAGACGACGCCAUCAAAGGGGAUGGAGUUCAUAUUGCAGCCUAUCAAAUGGUUUUAAGAUCCGGAAUAAGUGACUAGGCAAUUGUGUUGUUAAUUUGGUUUAACAGCUUCAAAGGGCACUGAGAAUGAAGUUUGCAUUCUACGAAACUCAUUGCUACCUUGCGACCAUAAUUUACCUUCCGAGCGCAAGAGGUGCAGUCAUCACCGUUCCUGCCGUCCUUGGGCUGGGCCGUCAAGAAACUCCUGCAGUUCUCUCUACGUGCACCGUCGAGGUCACCGAAGGUCUCACAAAUCAAUCAGGUGAACCUUUAAUUCGAUCUGGGGUAUUUUGUGGUUUGCAUGACUAAUAUUGCACUUUUGGCACUUGGUGGUGGGUCAGAACUUUUUGAUCUGCAAUUUCAUCUACCAACCAAUCUUCCUCUGAUAGAUACUAGAAACAUUUUUUGGGACAGGAAGAAAUUGCUAUUCCGGAGUUUAAUUAAUCAUUUGAUAAUCCCUUUGGAAAAUACAUGUGAUCUGGAGCAUGAAAAUCAUUCUCAUAUAUAGAUAUAGGAGGAAAUGUGGCCUAUGCAAGAGUGUUUUUUAGACCUGUAUUUUUACAAGGAGGUUCAUACUUAUACAUACGAAGAUUAGAAUUUGACUAGAUGCAUAAGUUUGGCUGGUUGAGAAAUUUGAAUUCACUAUCCCUCAUAAAGUGUAUGUUUGGUGGGUGCACGUGCAUUAGAGAAUAAAUAAGAAUCAUGGGGCUUCCAGCGCUCUAGAAUUCUAGCAUUGGGAUUAUCUUAGGUUGCCGAUUACUGUACUGAAAAUGUGUAAUUAGAUAUGACGCGUACAUAAGAAUUGUGCAGCAAUCUUGUCUUACAAAGUGGGAUCAAGAGGGAUACUGAAGAAAUGAAGAUGCAGAGUCUCUGUUUCCUAUGAUUACUUCUCAUGUUCAUGUCGGCUUCCUUGGGCUUUACUUCCUACCACCAGAUGCAUUAAACUGGACCGUAUCAAGAGGGGAUGCGGAACGCACUCCUUUAUAUACUUCUUUCCCCGGGAAGUGAAGGUUAUGUUUUUUAAUAUCAUGUGAGCUGCACUUUGUUUUUGUUAAAGAGAAUAUUAGAACUGGACUAUUUGUUUGGACAAAAACAAUGGGGGAGCUUCUUAUUGUACAGAUACAAACUAUUGUAGUAAAAAUACAAAAAAGCGGUCCACAAGAUCUAAGUAGUAACAUGGAGUGCUUUCAUGCAUCAGUUUGCCUUGUGCAGAGAAUAUGUGUAAAAUGUAAGAGUUGUUUUUGCCGAACUUUAGCCAUAGUAUGUUUGUCUAGACGUGCGUUGCACGUGCAUGUUUACUAUCACGUAAACUGAAGCACUAAAUGGCUAGAAAGUAUUGUACUAUAGCAGCCCAAUUGAAAUGCAAACGGUUUAACCAAUCGAAAUGCAAACGGUUUUCAGACUUCAAAACUGAAACUGAAACCGAAACUUGAAAACCCCAAAAUUUUGGCUCGGUUUGGUUUUUGGUUUACGGUUCGGUUUUGCACACCCGGAAGCGACCAGUGCUAUGCAUUCGACAAUAUCUUACACAUGAUACAGACAGGUGUGCACAUGGAACUCAAAGAAAACUACUGUUGUGCAUACGUGACAUGUCCAGUUUGAAGUGCCAAAUUUUAGGUUCAACAACUUUAGACAGAAAAGUAGCUACUUUGGGAUAGGGGCAAAUUGGCUCCCGAGCUCAUCUACACUGGCCAUGAACAGUAAAAUCAAAUAAAAUACUAGAAAAAAUAAAAAAAAUUCCUUUUUGCAAGAUAGACAUUUCAGUGUGUGAGGUCCAUGCCAAAUUUCAGCUCAUUUGGACAUCUGAGUAGCUCUCAGCAAAAUAGACAAAUUUGAUGUUUGUGAAACAGUGUACUGUUCAUGUACUAUUUUGGCAGUUUUCUUUUGCUAAGAGCUACUCAGAUGUUCAAACAAGCUGAAAUUUUGCACGGACCUCACGCACUGAAACAUCUUCCAUGCACUUUUUAUUUAUUUUUUGUAGUAUUUAUUUUAUUUUACUGUUCAUAUGGUGCUGAUGAGAUCGCGCUCAGAAAUGGAUAUUUGCUACUUUGGACGAAUAUUCUUUCUGAGCCUUGGCUCAACUGAACCUGAUAUCUCCACCGUCUAGUUGAGAAAAAGGGUUUCCCCCCGCUUUAUAUUAUAAAACAACGAACCAAGCAUCCAACACAGCAGUACAGAGUACAAACAAGUCAUAAAGUCAUGCUGGGGGCACAGCAAGACAAGCCCCAAACAAAGCUAAAAAAGCUAAUCCGGCUUAGGAGGCAGUGGAGGGGCAAAAGCCGACGCCGAAGAACGAAGACCCGCAAUGAUGUUGUCGAUGACGUCUCGGUCGCGCCGCUUGCUAAGCGGUCUCCAAAGCUGUAAGAAGCCACACAUUUUAUAGAUUGCAUCGGUCACACGACGAGGAAUCACACGCUCAAUGACUAGUUUAUUAUGGGUACACCAGAGGGUCCAUGCCAGGGUACCCAGAGCUACCCAAGUGGGAGGGCGACUAGCGUCGGGGAGUCUAAAGACCUCCCCAAACUAGUCCGGGAGGUUGUCGUGGCACCAAUCGCCGCCAACCACCU